RNAcentral lists this ribosomal RNA (440 nucleotides) under uncultured bacterium. RNAcentral describes it as "partial 16S ribosomal RNA". It matches the Rfam family "Bacterial small subunit ribosomal RNA", at positions 338 to 795 of the family's 1533-position model. The record is from RNAcentral.
CCUACGGGAGGCAGCAGUGGGGAAUAUUGCACAAUGGGGGGAACCCUGAUCCAGCGACGCCGCGUGGGUGAAGAAGCGCCUCGGCGCGUAAAGCCCUUUCAGCAGGGAAGAAAAUGACGGUACGUGAAGAAGAAGCCCCGGCUAACUACGUGACAGCAGCCGCGGUAAGACGUAGGGGGCAAGCGUUAUCCGGAUUUACUGGGUGUAAAGGGGGCGCAGACGGCGAUGCAAGCCAGGAGUGAAAGCCCGGGGCCCAACCCCGGGACUGCUGUUGAAACUGCGUGGCUUGAGUGCAGGUGGGGCAGGCGGAAUUCCUGGUGUAGCGGUGAAAGGCGUAGAUAUCAGGAGGAACACCGGUGGCGAAGGCGGCUUGCUGGACUGCAACUGACGUUGAGGCCCGAAAGCGUGGGGAGCAAACAGGAGUAGAUACCCUAGUAGUC